UCUUGAGAGCGGCGUACGGGUGCGGAACACUGUACACUGCCUUUAUCUGGGGGAUAGCCUUUCGAAAGGAAGAUUAUACCCCAUAAUAUGUUGAAUGGCAUCAUUCGACAUUGAAAACUCCGGUGGAUAGAGAUGGGCACGCGCAAGAUUAGAUAGUUGGUGAGGUAACGGCUCACCAAGUCUACGAUCUUUAGGGGGCCUGAGAGGAUGAUCCCCCACACUGGUACUGAGACACGGACCAGACUCCUACGGGAGGCAGCAGUGAGGAAUAUUGGACAAUGGGUGAGAGCCUGAUCCAGCCAUCCCGCGUGAAGGACGACUGCCCUAUGGGUUGUAAAACUUUCUUUUUGUAUAAGGGGGAUAAACCUAACCUUCCGUGGAAGGGUAUUAAAGGUACUAAUAAAUUAAACCCGGGGUUAAACUCCCGUUGCCAAGCAGCCGGGGUAAAUACGGGAGGGGUGGNCAAGGGGUUUAAAUCCCCGGGGAAUUUGAAAUGGGGGGUUUUAAAAAGGGGGUCCCCNGAAGGGGGAUUUCUGUAAAGUCCCGCGGGGGGUGGAAAUUUUCCCCCCGUUUUUAAUCUGUUGUGUGGAAAAAUCUGGG
This 600-nucleotide ribosomal RNA is filed under the name uncultured bacterium. RNAcentral describes it as "partial 16S ribosomal RNA". The stretch from base 1 to 464 matches the Rfam family "Bacterial small subunit ribosomal RNA", at positions 87 to 539 of the family's 1533-position model. The record is from RNAcentral.